GCAAAAUCCGGGCUAGGAGCGGGGGUAAGACGGAGUCGCCAAUCGUGAUCCGGAAUCAUUUGGUGUAAAGGGGCCGUAGGCGGCCUUAUAAGGCAGCGGUGAAAGUUUUUGGCUUAACCAAAAAAUUGCCAUUGAUACUGUAGGGCUUGAAUAUUUGUGAAGUAACUAGAAUAUGUAGUGUAGCGGUGAAAUGCUUAGAUAUUACAUGGAAUACCAAUUGCGAAGGCAGGUUACUAACAAAUGAUUGACGCUGAUGGACGAAAGCGUGGGUAGCGAACAGGAUUAGAUACCCCAGUAGUC
Molecule: ribosomal RNA, 300 nt
Filed under: uncultured Halobellus sp.
Lineage: Archaea; Methanobacteriati; Methanobacteriota; Halobacteria; Halobacteriales; Haloferacaceae
Description: bacterial SSU rRNA
Rfam family: Bacterial small subunit ribosomal RNA
Source: RNAcentral